Molecule: ribosomal RNA, 497 nt
Filed under: uncultured bacterium
Lineage: Bacteria
Description: partial 16S ribosomal RNA
Rfam family: Bacterial small subunit ribosomal RNA
Source: RNAcentral
GAUGAACGCUGGCGGCGUGCCUAAUACAUGCAAGUCGAGCGAACGGACGAGAAGCUUGCUUUUCUGAUGUUAGCGGCGGACGGGUGAGUAACACGUGGAUAACCUACCUAUAAGACUGGGAUAACUUCGGGAAACCGGAGCUAAUACCGGAUAAUAUUUUGAACCGCAUGGUUCAAAAGUGAAAGACGGUCUUGCUGUCACUUAUAGAUGGAUACGCGCUGCAUUAGCUAGUUGGUAAGGUAACGGCUUACCAAGGCAACGAUGCAUAAGCGACCUGAGAGGGUGAUCGGCCACACUGGAACUGAGACACGGUCCAGACUCCUACGGGAGGCAGCAGUAGGGAAUCUUCCGCAAUGGGCGAAAGCCUGACGGAGCAACGCCGCGUGAGUGAUGAAGGUCUUCGGAUCGUAAAACUCUGUUAUUAGGGAAGAACAUAUGUGUAAGUAACUGUGCACAUCUUGACGGUACCUAAUCAGAAAGCAACGGCUAACUACGUG